GAUGAACGCUGGCGGCGUGCCUAAUACAUGCAAGUCGAGCGAACGGACGAGAAGCUUGCUUCUCUGAUGUUAGCGGCGGACGGGUGAGUAACACGUGGAUAACCUACCUAUAAGACUGGGAUAACUUCGGGAAACCGGAGCUAAUACCGGAUGAUAUUUUGAACCGCAUGGUUCAAAAGUGAAAGACGGUCUUGCUGUCACUUAUAGAUGGAUCAGCGCUGCAUUAGCUAGUUGGUAAGGUAACGGCUUACCAAGGCAACGAUGCAUAGCCGACCUGAGAGGGUGAUCGGCCACACUGGAACUGAGACACGGUCCAGACUCCGACGGGGGGCAGCAGUAGGGAAUCUUCCGCAAUGGGCGAAAGCCUGACGUAGCAACGUCGCGUGAGUGAUGAAGGUCUUCGGAUCGUAAAGCGCUGUUAUUAGGGAAGAACAUAUGUGUAAGUAACUGUGAACAUCUUGACGGUACCUAAUCAGAAAGCCACGGCUAACUACGUG
This 497-nucleotide ribosomal RNA is filed under the name uncultured bacterium. Its description in RNAcentral is "partial 16S ribosomal RNA". It matches the Rfam family "Bacterial small subunit ribosomal RNA", at positions 28 to 507 of the family's 1533-position model. The record is from RNAcentral.